GACGAACGCUGGCGGCGUGCCUAAUACAUGCAAGUUGAGCGCUGAAGGUUGGUCCUUGUACCAACUGGAUGAGCAGCGAACGGGUGAGUAACGCGUGGGGAAUCUGCCUUUGAGCGGGGGACAACAUUUGGAAGCGAAUGCUAAUACCGCAUAAAAACUUUAAACACAAGUUUUAAGUUUGAAAGAUGCAAUUGCAUCACUCAAAGAUGAUCCCGCGUUGUAUUAGCUAGUUGGUGAGGUAAAGGCUCACCAAGGCGAUGAUACAUAGCCGACCUGAGAGGGUGAUCGGCCACAUUGGGACUGAGACACGGCCCAAACUCCUACGGGAGGCAGCAGUAGGGAAUCUUCGGCAAUGGACGAAAGUCUGACCGAGCAACGCCGCGUGAGUGAAGAAGGUUUUCGGAUCGUAAAACUCUGUUGGUAGAGAAGAACGUUGGUGAGAGUGGAAAGCUCAUCAAGUGACGGUAACUACCCAGAAAGGGACGGCUAACUACGUG
Molecule: ribosomal RNA, 497 nt
Filed under: uncultured bacterium
Lineage: Bacteria
Description: partial 16S ribosomal RNA
Rfam family: Bacterial small subunit ribosomal RNA
Source: RNAcentral